GAAAUGCGAUAAUUAAUGUGAAUUGCAGAAUUCAGUGAAUCAUCGAGUCUUUGAACGCACAUUGCGCCCCCUGGUAUUCCGGGGGGCAUGCCUGUCCGAGCGUCAUUGCUGCCCUCAAGCACGGCUUGUGUGUUGGGCUUCCGUCCCUGGCAACGGGGACGGGCCCAAAAGUCAGUGGCGGCACCAUGUCUGGUCCUCGAGCGUAUGGGGCUUUGUCACCCGCUCCCGUAGGUCCAGCUGGCAGCUAGCCUCGCAACCAAUCUUUUUAACCAGGUUGACCUCGGAUCAGGUAGGGAUACCCGCUGAACUUAAGC
RNAcentral lists this unclassified non-coding RNA (314 nucleotides) under plant metagenome. RNAcentral describes it as "partial contains 5.8S ribosomal RNA, internal transcribed spacer 2, and large subunit ribosomal RNA". The stretch from base 1 to 105 matches the Rfam family "5.8S ribosomal RNA", at positions 50 to 154 of the family's 154-position model. The record is from RNAcentral.